Molecule: non-coding RNA, 54 nt
Organism: Salmo salar (Atlantic salmon)
Lineage: Eukaryota; Metazoa; Chordata; Actinopteri; Salmoniformes; Salmonidae
Source: Rfam
UGAAUUCACUACUGUAAGUCACUCUGGAUAAGAGUGUCUGCUAAAUGACUAAAA